Ailuropoda melanoleuca (giant panda) is the source of this 652-nucleotide long non-coding RNA. RefSeq lists it as uncharacterized. The record is from RefSeq and is a predicted model, not a curated record. The transcript is spliced from 3 exons. Lineage: Eukaryota; Metazoa; Chordata; Mammalia; Carnivora; Ursidae.
CUUUAGCCCUGAUCCUUUCCCCAAUCCAAAGGGCACUAAUAAAGGCAAGGGGGGUAAAGGCCCAGGUCUUAAGCCCGCCUUCUCUUCCUGGUACCUCCCGCCUCCGCUUUUCACAUCGUGGCAACCUCCAGGUCACUCGAUCAUCUGCUGGCUACACCUUUGCACCACCCAACAAAAUGGCAGGUUAGCAACAGGCGAGGCCGAGAGCCCUGCUCUAGCUCUAGCCAAGCGCGGCCCCGGCCAAGCCGCCGGGGGUCUCCGACAGUGCCCGAAGCCCAAACACCCUUCCCCUCUCAAAGUCCCCAAUCCUGGGCCCCGCCGGGCCGCCCGCUUGCUCUCUCGGGCCGAUUUCUGUCGCCAGCGGGGAAGCAGGUGUCGGCGUAACAGGUGCCAGAACUGGAAUGAGUACCUGUGCAUAGCAGGGUGCAAUGAAGUUAUGAGGGAUGAAAAGAUGAAGGAAUGAAUCAAUGAAAUGCAUCGUUGUGAAAGAAACAUACACUCUGACUUCCUGCAAUGGCCAGCACUCAGCAUUGAACACCAGUGGACACACCAGAGGUCCUGACAUCAGAUAAUUGCUUCCACUUUCUUAGGCUGUUUUUGCAAGGACUUCCUUAACUGCUGAGUGAUCCCAUGAAACUCUAUAGUGUACCAA